Cyanistes caeruleus (blue tit) is the source of this 6116-nucleotide long non-coding RNA. RefSeq lists it as uncharacterized. The record is from RefSeq and is a predicted model, not a curated record. NCBI's taxonomy places the organism in Eukaryota, Metazoa, Chordata, Aves, Passeriformes, Paridae.
UGUCAAUAAAAGACUUUCCCUUGGAAAAUAUAUGCAAAGCCAAAAUGAUGACUGUAGUUCUAAAUUAAAAUUUAAGUCUUAAAAGAUACAAAAGAUCUCAAAUGCACUGACUCAGUCAUGAAGAAUUAUAUAUUGUCACUGGGCAGAAAUUAUCUGAAAAACAAUGAGAAAAGUUAUUUCACAGAACUGACAACAUUUGACUGACCUAAAGUGGAACAAAGAGAUCUCUCAAUGAAGCUGCUCUAAGCAUUAGAGUCAUAAAAGUAGAGAAGACACUGAUGGCUGUGUUUAGUUUGUCCCAGAAGGAGAAUCCACCCAUAUGAGAAGCAAUUCUUUGAGUCAAAAGAUGUUUCUCCAGAACAAAUAUGAUACCCAGAGAACCUGCCAAAAAGUCAAUGUAAGAAAAGUUUUUUGUGUAGUCUAAAGAUAUUUUGUAUGAGCAAACCCACAAAAAUCCUUGUGAACCCAGCAGAAAAACUUCAGAACAGACCUGCCCUUUGACAGCAAGGGGCUAAUGCUGAAAUUCCAGGAUUUGCACCUAUUUGGCUUUUCCAGUGCAGGACUGAAGAACCCAUUGAGAAGAACAGAGAACACAGCAAGAGAACUCAUGUAGACCUGUACUACAUUCUUCAGUUUCAAGAAUCCCAGGAGCAAAGAACAUCUCAUGGAAAGCACCCAGCACUUGGGAAGCACUGUUAUGUUCAAAAUAAAGGCAGGGCAGAAGGAGGGAAAAAGUAAUUAGCCCAUGGUCCUCACUGGACAAGCAGUAUACUUUAAACAAAAGGAGGUAUUUCUUUACCUAAAAAGCUACAAGACUUUCUCCAAUAAACUUGGGCUGAAUAUUCAUCUUUAACACUAGCUGACAAUUAGCAAGGCAGAUUUAUUAAGGCUCUCCCAGGGGAAGAAAGACAGUAUAAAUAAUAAAUACAGGUUUCCCCUGUAUUUAUUGUUUAACCUGUUGAAAGAUACCAAGUCGGGAUGGUGAAACAAUCCCUGACACUCUUCUUUCAAGUGGCUGUGAGGUUCAACCCAGAUGGCAGACAAAAUUUAACCCAUCUGAAAGCUGGGGAAACAAAGGGGGAAAAAAAUUACAUUGGUUUAGCACUGGCUGGGUAACAGCUACGAGCCCAAACUCUUCUUUUCUGAGCCAGCCCCACCCUGGCACAGAACAGGAGGCUGGAACGAGACUGCCAGGGAUGCCAACAGGCACUGAGGUCCAAGCAUGGAAGAGUUAAGACCAGAGAGGUUCAAUAAUUUGUUUUGAAGGCCAUGACUUCCAGUAAAGCAGCCGUUCCCCGCUCAGUUGUGAACCAACAUUAACACAACAUGCGGUAGAAAUUCCUGGGAUUGGCAUUUUAUUAUGUGGCUCAGCCAAACCCAAGCAAUCCUGCUGAGCCACGAGUUAAACAAGGGAUGUUCCACUCUUCCAGAGGUUUGUGAUUCAAAGGCUUCCUGUAUCCUGCAGUUUUUUCUAAUAACCACACCUAUGUGGCAGGAAUCCUGUCCUCCCAGCUAUCAUGCACCCUACUCUUUCACCGUGCACAGUUAAAUCUAAAAUAAACAAACUAAAUUAUUUAGUUAGAGGUGAAUAAUACACCACAGUGGUGGCAUUUCAGAGACUUCCACAGUCUCUUGUGCAAAGCUCUGAAUUAUCAUUCUUGUCUGAGGUGGGUCCUGACUUCAUGCCAGGUUUAAAGAGUGGCUAGAAGUGAUAACCCUUAUCAACUCCCCACUUGAAACCACACUGUCGCAGUUCUGGUGGGGGAAGGGGAACAUUGCUUAAAAGCAGUGAAAAAACAAGUUACAUCUGUUUAAAAAAUUUACCUAUGGCAUAUAAAAUACUGGAUUCCAACUGUCUCCGAUUCCUCAGUCUAACAACAAAUAUUUUGGAACUACUUCAUAAUGGAAUAUGAUCUCUAGAGUGGAAGUGGUUCUGGUUUUAUUUGUGCAUAUUGUGCUGUUCUGUGAUGGUGCUUCAGAAAUAGCACUGAUGGGCUCCAGGAAGAAUCCAAAUUCCCCAAGAAGAGGUCAAUAAAGACAAAUAAUAGAAGACUGAAAAGAAGGGGAUAAAGAGAAGAAAACAAAUUUUGUAAGAGCUCAUUAAAAACAACUGCAAGUGUCCUGAGGCAAGGAGAAGUCCAUUGUACAUCAGCCCUUAGAAAGGCAGAGAAUCCUUAAAAGCUGAAGACUGUGGAAAGGAAGUCAGAGAGAAACUAAGCUAUUUUUAAGUCUGGCUUAUGGUGCACUUGUGUAUGAAAGGAAGAUUUUAAAUAAACUAUGGUAUGGACUAAGCUUGAUUAGCUCUUCAGCCACUCUCUUCAAAGAACUCUUUCCUCCCUUUCUCAGAAAACUCUCCUCAACCUAAGCUAGUGCUGACCAACAUCUCUGGACAACAGGCUGCACAGCUCAAAGCAACUGUGGAGUGGUGCUGGAAGAAGGAUACCAGCAUUCCCUGUGGUUUAUGUCUUUCCAGCUUCCCUCUCCUGCCUUUCUGGGUCUCCACCUAAUGCAGAACUCGCUGUUUCAAGUACUGAUCCAGCAAAAAGGCUGUGAGCACAAUCGAGCUCACAACACAGUCACUAGUGGUGGUACACAAAAACACAUCUUGGAAAAAAGAAAAGCCAGACUGAGAUGCUUUCUGGGAUGGCUCAAAGUCCUCAUGAAACCACUGGGCUGCCCUGGUAUAGAGGGCUGGGCCCCCUGGCACCUCCUCUGCCCACAGAACACACCUGCUGUGUUUGUACAGAGUCACUAUGGGAAGACACCGCCUCUGUCCCCACCAGAGAGGUCAGGAUGCCAGCACAGCAAAGUAUCCUUGAGUAAGCAGCUGUCCAAGACCAAACCAUUCCCAGAAAGACAGCAAUCCACAGGCUGCUGGGCUGUCUGUUCCAGCAGCUCAGAAAUGGAGAGGAGGCGGCAAGACAGGUGACUUUUGCCAGAAUUCAGAACCCAUGCAUCAACAGGAUUGGCCUCUGAAAUGUCCUCCCCAGUCACACUCCAUCACAACCCAGCACGUGGCUGGGGGAGGUAAAACCAGUCAAGAAACCAAACUGGUGGUCAGGAACACACAGUGUCACCCCCAGACAGCUCACCUUGCCCCAGCAUAAAGAGGACAACAAGGAUGACUUAUCCUUCUGAGUCACAACAGCCUCUGAGUUGUGGGUUGGCUGCCCUACCCUGAUGAGUCUCUCCCUGUUCCUGUUUACCAAGCAGAGAUCGUGUAGUGGGGAAAGAGAGGCUGUGAGAUGUGCUGACAAAUCACCACCAAACAGAACCAUGUAUUGGAGGGAGGGAGGACAAGAGUUCAGUGCUGCAAAUACAGCGAAGGUUGAACUGUUACGAACAGUGCUGGGAUAAAAGCCCGAGUUAUUUGUGGCAGCUCAGGAACAGAGGAGUCACAGGCAUUUCUGCCAAUCUGCUCAUCUGAGGAGUGCUGGAAGCAGGCCAUUCACAGAUUCAUGGAGAGGUUUGGACAGGAAGGGACCUUGGGACAUUCCUUCUUCAUCCUUCUGCCCAAAGCAUAAGUAACUCUGAAAUUUCUAUCAGUUAGCAGACUGAGGGCUCCCUCAGGCAAAUUUGAUGAGGGAGAUGCCAGUGCCUUUCCAGGCAUCCUGUUUGGGUGCACAACCAUUUUCACAAAGGAAAAUUCUUUCUUUUGUCCAGCUGGCAUUUCCUUUGCCACAACUUGUGACCCAUUGCCUCUUGUCCUUUUGUUCCAGUUGACAACACUCAGGUGACAAGCACACAAUGUCUCAGGAAUCAGCAAGUCUUAAAACAAAACUGUUCAACACUUUGAAUGGAAUUGAGGGUUGCUGCAAUCCUACCCUUUCAUCUCUCAGCUUGGGCCAUCCCUUUAUUGACUUGCCUUCAAUUAAUAAAGGGAACCCUGAAAAGUGUCCUCAACUUAAUGAGAAAAAAAAAAAAAGGAGCAAUUUCUGAAAGUGACGUCAGUAGAUGAAAUCAUCGUCCAUUACUUUUUGGCCAGCUUUCCACCAGUUAUCUCCCUGAACCAGCUCACCAUAGAACAGGGUAACAAUCUGUCUGCAUGAGGGAAGGAGUAGAAGCAUACAGCAAAUGCAAGGGCAGAAUCCCACAGCGCUGACAUAUAUCAUCCUAAAGUGCUGUGGAACCACUCCCUGUGUGCUCAGCACAGACAAGGAGGUGACAAGAGGGCUGGGACAAGAGACUGCAAAUUAAAUUCUCCUCUGGUCUGAGGGUAAGAACAUCUCCCCCCCCUCAAGAAGUAGCAACAGAUCAACAGACUGACACAUCUGAUUUGUUCCAUGUUAUCUAGAAAUCUUGUCAAGACAAUUUUUCAAUGAUAUCCUGGCAGCCUCCCCUCUCCCAGAAAAAAAAAAACUAAACAAAACUGCACAAAAAACAAACUCAGUAAAUCAACAUGACCUCUUAUUUAUCAAGACUAAAUCCACCAGGAUAAAAAAUAGCCACCAUUCAACUAAAAGUAAGUUUGAAUCACACUUGUCCCUCUCAAAGGACUGUGGUUUUAUCUCACGAGCAGUGAAAGAUCCAAAGCUAAGAAAAGCUGAUCUAUCUCAGAAGUUUCUUACAUACACCAAAUGGACUUUUUGGAUACUGUACUUGCUUUGAAAUAACCACCAGCAAAUGAUUUUACCAAUGCUGAGGCAGAAAAGUCCAGUGAUGACAAAGGCAGAGUUUUCAUAAAUCAUUUUGUUUGCUUCUUUAACAAAAACACCUUUCUGGGGCAGGUGCAUUAAGGCAUAGGGGAGACAAGGCAGUGCAAAAGAGGAAAUUUUUCUACCAACUGUGGCAGGGCAAAGCAACUUGUGCCUGUGCUGCUGCAGUCCCCCCCUCUUCUCCUGUGCUAGCUCUGGGGUGAGCACAGGAGUUCUCAGCCUGGAAAACAGGGGGAGGCAGGGAUGUGUGUUUUGACUGCUAGGAUGUGAUCUGGUGGGAGAAAACAGGAGAGAAUCAGAGCAUACUGGUUUUAAAUCCCCUUAAUCCAAUGAAAAACAGGGGAGAAGUUAAAACGGUGGUCCUGACACCUGAGUCAUCUCCACAGCUCAGGUUUCUUUCCCACAGUGACAUUACCAAUCUAAAAUGGCACUGCCUGAUGCCAAUUCAAGAAGCCUCUUAUCAGAGCAUGUCACACACAGGCAACAUCCCUUGGCAGGCUGCAAAAAGCAUCUUGUGAACUUUGGGAAUCUUCUCCAUUAAGAGUCACAGGGAGCUUCUAUCCCACUUCUUAUCUGAAACCUUAGAUUCUGUUGUUUAUUAGCAAGUGUCAGUAUCUACCCAGAGUGCAGAACCCUAAACUAACAAUGCUGAGCACAGAAAAAUAACAGUUUUGAGCAAAAUCAGACUCCUCAACACUUCCAGAAAUUCACUUCACAAAAGCCUUUCUUGAGCAAGUCUUGUUUCAAAACCAAAUCACUCACAUUUUAAACCUAAAUGUGAAAUGCCAUCACAAACUCCAGAAAGAGAUACACAGGGAAUAAUUUCACAUCAUUUCCUCACUACCUCAUACAGAAGACAAACCAGCUCUAGGGCAAAGGCUGAAAUACCCAUUCUGAAAACCUCUUCCUCUCCCCCUUGCUAAAGGGCUUCCUUCCAGUGUUAUUCCUAAGGACAGGCUUUGCCACUUACACUGCUUGAAAACUUCAUUCCCUCAAUCCCUUCCUCAGAUGUCUGGACCUUCAAUCCUUUCAAAUGAAGUCACCAUGAUGGAAUAAACACUGUGGAGCGUCCUCAGAAGAGAUCUCUGCCACAGUUCACUAGUACAACACACUGAGCCUCCAGCAGGAACAAUUCAAACUAUUAAAGGUGAGAUACACAAAAGCACCUUCUCAAGUGACAGCCAGGCAGCAGCUACAGUGGAAAUUCACAACCACAAAUCCCCAGCACCACCCUGUGCGAGAUAAAACUUGGAUCUGUCUCUACCAGCAAAAGAAAAACAAGGCACAGGAAUGGCUGAGACAUCAGAGAGGCUCUCAAAGCCUCGGCACUGCCCUGACCUCAGAUCAGAGCUAUCAGCAGCUCCUGUUCAGGUUGUUGUGUUAACACACAUGGUUCUGUCUCUUUGGAAUUAUUCUUGGAAAGUCGCUGUAAUUACAGAAUACAAUAAAAACAACAGAUCA